UACGGGGGGAGCAAGCGUUGUUCGGAUUUACUGGGCGUAAAGGGCGCGUAGGCGGCAUGGCAAGUCAGGAGUGAAAGGCCUGGGCUCAACCGAGGAACUGCUUUUGAUACUGCCAAGCUAGAGUGCGGAAGGGGCAACUGGAAUUCCCAGUGUAGCGGUGAAAUGCGUAGAUAUUGGGAAGAACACCUGAGGCGAAGGCGGGUUGCUGGGCCGACACUGACGCUGAGGCGCGAAAGCCAGGGGAGCAAACGGG
RNAcentral lists this ribosomal RNA (253 nucleotides) under uncultured bacterium. RNAcentral describes it as "partial 16S ribosomal RNA". It matches the Rfam family "Bacterial small subunit ribosomal RNA", at positions 524 to 776 of the family's 1533-position model. The record is from RNAcentral.